RNAcentral lists this ribosomal RNA (253 nucleotides) under uncultured bacterium. RNAcentral's name for it is "partial 16S ribosomal RNA". It matches the Rfam family "Bacterial small subunit ribosomal RNA", at positions 524 to 776 of the family's 1533-position model. The record is from RNAcentral.
UACGUAGGGGGCGAGCGUUGUCCGGAAUCAUUGGGCGUAAAGCGCGUGUAGGCGGUCCGGUAAGUCCGCUGUGAAAGUCGGGGGCUCAACCCUCGGAUGCCGGUGGAUACUGUCGGGCUUGAGUACGGAAGAGGCGAGUGGAAUUCCUGGUGUAGCGGUGAAAUGCGCAGAUAUCAGGAGGAACACCGAUGGCGAAGGCAGGUCUCUGGGCCACUACUGACGCUGAGAAGCGAAAGCAUGGGGAGCGAACAGG